CCGCUCCUGGCUGAAGAAUCUCCCUCACGUGCCUCCACGUGACUUGCGGCUGCGCCCUGUGCCUGGGUCCAGAGCCCCUCUCCCACCUCCACGGUCCAGGCCUCCCUGCUGGGCUCCGGGAUGACCCGUGUUCACUGGGCGUGGGACCUUCCUGGCUGCCUGUGGUCCCUGCGGAGCCAAGCACCACGUCCCCCUGGUGGCCCGUCCCUUGUGUGUGGCUUGACCGUCUGUGGCAAAACCACUCGUGGGUGAUGUGGCCUGGGUGUCAGCCGUGGAAACAGGACUGCGUCAGGACCAGGCACCCAGCUACGCUGGCUGGAAUUCAGACAGAAGGAAACACCCACGCAGGAGGCUGCGUGUGGGCGGGGCGUUGGGACACUGUCACCGUGGGACAGCUCCUAGCCUGGGCAGAGUUCAGGUGAAUGGCGGGGUAGGCGUGGCCAUGGACAGGAAGCCCAUUCGCAGGCCUGCUGGGGGGCAACUUCCCGUGGAGGCUUCCGGGUGACCGGCCCAGUGCGCCCCAGCACAGACCCUCAGGCAAACCCCGGGAGGCGGAUGCUCGUGUCUCCGUCUCAGGUGAGCCACAGACCCCGGGACGGGCAGGGCCACUCAGGAGAGUGCACGGGCACCGCCUACACCGCUACCCACCAUCACUUCCCGUGGCGGGGCCCCGGCCUGAAGGCUUGCUGCGCCGUGACGUGGCGACGCGUCCUGAGCGGGCAGCCUGCUCGGCACAUCGCCGGGGCCACGCCUUUCACCCCUGCCGGCGAGCACUGGCGCAGCCAGCUCACAGCAGCCACAGGAUCAAAAUGUGAGCGUGCAGUACGGGACGGGGACUGCUGUCCUUCAAGUCGGGGUUGCCAAGGCAACAGGGGAUUUGGAAGGGACAGCCGAGCGACAUAUUUUGCAGGCAGGGAUCUGUGGUUAUUGGAGACUUCGUAGCUUGAAGUGCAGCAGGAGAUAGGCGUGCGUGGGGGCAGAACAGAGCAGCUGUGCUCGGGGAGGGCGGGGUCCUGGCGCGGCCCCUCUGCCAGCUGCCCCGGGGAAGUGGCACUGGCGGGGCCUCCUGGGCCCUGCAGCUCCCAAGGCCCUGCCCCACCUGAGUGCCGGUCGGCGGUUGAGGCACGUGGCCGAGGGUUCUGGCCUGGACCUCACCUCCUGGUGUCCACCCUCCAGCAUCUUCUCUCGCAGUGCAAAACCACGCAGCAGCCGGCACGGCCUCGAGUGGCGUGGACAGCGGUGGGUGGUCGUCCGUGUCCUUGUGAUGGAAACAAAACCUGGGCAGGCCGAGGUCAGCCAGUCGCUUUAGCUCUGCACCUCAGCGGCUUGAAGCCUGUCGGGAGAGCUCAAACGGGCCAUCAGCCUCAGGCUCACCGCGGCCCCUCUCGCAGAUGCUGGAAACUUCACGUUAAAACUGCAAAAUCAAGACCAUCGACCGUGGGACGAGCGAGGAAAACACACGCGUCACGGGACGGCGGCCAGCGGCCCGGAGACCGCCAGGGAGUGGCGCGGCUGCCUGGCUCCCCACCCGCUGGCCCCUGGGGCCGGGCUGACCUCGGGCACCUGCGGGUUCCCAGGCCCCCGCUCCUCCCAAUCGGAAACCCCGGGGCUGGGCCCUCACCGCUGGUCAGUGGCUUCCCUUCCCGGGAGCAAACCCAUGGCCCCCCCGGCCCCGAGCACCGGUGUCUGGGGCUGUGUAGUCACGGGCAGGUGCCUCGCCGGCGCGAGUGAAACCGACGACAGAACGGAGGGAAAAGCUGGUCCUCCGCUUCCCAACAGCGCAAGGUCUGCCCGCGGCUGACGGGGUGCGGGACACACGUGGAGUCCGGACACAGCGCGAAUGCCAGUGUCGCCGCCCAGGCUCUGGCUGCCGGGGACGAUGUCCUCCCCGGGCCCCUCGUCAGCCUGUAAAGUCCUGCUAAAGUCAGGUGUUCGGGCGAUGCGGCAGCCCUGAGACCCUUGACUGUUCUGAGCUGGUGCCAUGCGGCGACAGCCUGGGCGGGGGCUGGGUGGGGCCAGCGGCAUUGCAAGAAGUCGGUUCUGGGCGCCUUUGGCGAGCGGCGGGGACGCCUACACCGCUCAGAGCCGAGCCGAGCGGAAGUCCCCGCCUGACCUCAGCUCCCUCCUGAAGCCACUCUGGGAGGCGGCCGGCGAGGGCCAAGGAGCUGGGCCCCUGCCACCCGCGUGGGAGACCUGGACGGAGUUCCCGGCUCCUGGUCUGGCCUGGCCCAGCUCUGAACCAGCAAAUGGGCACUCGCUCGCUCACUCUCUCCCUCUCUCUCUUAAAUAAAAAAAUUAAAAAAUCCCA
RNAcentral lists this long non-coding RNA (2308 nucleotides) under Oryctolagus cuniculus (rabbit). RNAcentral's name for it is "lncRNA (ENSOCUG00000039291.1)". The record is from RNAcentral. Lineage: Eukaryota; Metazoa; Chordata; Mammalia; Lagomorpha; Leporidae.